Pristis pectinata (smalltooth sawfish) is the source of this 822-nucleotide long non-coding RNA. RefSeq lists it as uncharacterized. The record is from RefSeq and is a predicted model, not a curated record. Lineage: Eukaryota; Metazoa; Chordata; Chondrichthyes; Rhinopristiformes; Pristidae. The transcript is spliced from 4 exons.
AGUCCCGUCCGCCUGACGACAACAUGGCGGCGGCGCGCCUCACGCUGCCGGGAGGAGUGGCCUCCUCCCUCGACGACGACGACAACAACAACAACACACACGCAGAGGGAGAGAGCAGGCUCGCAUCACAGGAGUGCUGCUAGAAGACCAGAGAGUGGCAAACGUUACUCAGAAGGGAAUAUGGCCAGCAACUGAAGAGUCCUAUUUGGAAACCAGGCUCCCUGACAUACAAGGAUGGCAGAGGAAGAGAGAAAGAGUGCCUGCAGCUGGAUGCUGCCUGGCCUGCUGAAUAUUUCCAAUAUUUCUCUAUUCAGAUUUCCAGCAUCUGCACUAUUUUGUUUUGGCUUGGAUAUAUUUUGUGAAGGCUAAUGUCUCCAUCUGUCAUAGGAAGAAAAUUAGAAGUAGAAAAGGGAAAGUGGUGUGGAGACACAGGAGACUGCAGAUAGUAGAAUCUGGAGCAAAAAACAAACUGCUAGAGGAACUCUGUCAAGAGCAAGUUGGGGAGGGGGGGGGUGCGGAAGGAAUUGUCAAUGUUUCAGGUCGAAAACUUCAUCAGGACCAGACUCAAAGAUAGCGUCUAUCCUGCUGUUACAAGACUCUUGAAUAGACCUCUUAUGCAAAAAGGAUGAAUUCUUGAUCUCUCAAUGUACGUCGUCAUGGCCCUUGCACUUUAUUUCUCUACCUGCACUGCACUCCCUCAGUAACUGUAAUACUAUAUUGUGCAUUUCAUUCCUUUUGUACUACCUUGAUGUACUUAUGUACAGAAUGAUCUGCCUGGAUGGUAUGCAAACAAAAGGUUUACACUGUAUCUCGGUACAUGUA